Molecule: ribosomal RNA, 406 nt
Filed under: uncultured bacterium
Lineage: Bacteria
Description: partial 16S ribosomal RNA
Rfam family: Bacterial small subunit ribosomal RNA
Source: RNAcentral
AUUGAACGCUGGCGGCAGGCCUAACCCAUGCAAGUCGAACGAGUGGCGGACGGGUGAGUAAUGUCUGGGAAACUGCCCGAUGGAGGGGGAUAACUACUGGAAACGGUAGCUAAUACCGCAUACCAUCGGAUGUGCCCAUAUGGGAUUAGCUAGUAGGUGGGGUAACGGCUCACCUAGGCGACGAUCCCUAGCUGGUGUGAGAGGAUGUCCCGCCAUACGGGAACGGAGACACGGUCCAGACUCCGCGGGAAGGAAGCAGGGGGUAAUUUUGCACAAUGGGCGCAAGCCUGAUGCAGCCAUGCCGCGUGGAUGAAGAAGGCCUUCGGGUGGUAAAGUACUGUCAUCGAGGAGGCGUUACUCUCAGAUGAAGCACCGGCUAACUCCGUGCCAGCAGCCUCGGUAAUAC